Molecule: long non-coding RNA, 996 nt
Organism: Herpailurus yagouaroundi (jaguarundi)
Lineage: Eukaryota; Metazoa; Chordata; Mammalia; Carnivora; Felidae
Exons: 3
Source: RefSeq, a predicted model, not a curated record
CUGUAAGGUGGAGGGACUCUCACAUGGUCGAGGAGUGCAAGGACCCCAAGUGCAAGGGGUGGGGCUUUGAACACCACCAAGACCCCCUUCUGCGUGACACUCAGGCCUGGCUUCUGAACCACGGGGAUGUGUAGCCCAUGGAAGGAGACAGACCACGUCAGAUCAGACGUGUUACGGAGAAAAAGACGGCAGAGCGCAGUCAGGACUGAUUUUCUGCUUACACAGGCUUGACUGGCUCCAUACGAGAAAGCCUCAGGCACAGCAAUCAAUGUGUGUCUCGUGACUGACGGCACCGAGCGGAGACCAGUUCUCCCCUGCUACUGGACACGAAGCAGAUGCCAGACACCCACAGAACCACGCACGAGGCCACCAGCCUGCUGGCUACCCGACACUGUACUCCAAGACUUGGGGCCCUCAGAGCACGGCCCCAAGGGCUCCGGGGCAGCCCGGAGCACUGCCUCAGCGAUUGUCCCCUCUGCCCGGAGCCGGGCCGGACGCCUCGCACCAGCACCCAGGAGCUGGAGAGAGAGGCAGCCUGCCCGACCCAGUCGGGGCCGGGCACCUUUGCUUUGAGGAAUUGCAGGGGGAAAAGCAGAGCCAGAGAGGAGGUCCCGGGGGGACACUGAGGCAAGCUCCACUUGCUUUAUGAGCCAGUGGCCAGCGGGUGUGCACUGCCACAACUGCCUCUCGGAGGAGUCCACGGGGAGUCCACGGCAUGGGUGUGUGCACACCAGUAACGAGGGAAAGGCUGCAGACGGCAUUCGGACCGAGACUCCUUUUUUCGAAAAACUAGAAGUACAGUAUCGUCAAGAACGUUACUUCUAAAAUGUUUUCUGGGACUCUGGCAAAUUCCAUCAAAAUUAAAACACGCAUUUCUAGAAAUAAAUCGUACAGCAAUACCUACCUGGUUGCAUACAGGAUACUCACCGGAGCCUCUGCAAUACCAACUGCCCCCCCGCCCCGCCCCCCAGCACCGAAAUAACCUGAUGCUUUCCA